GUCUAAGGCCAUAUCAUCCUGAAUGUACCCAAUCUCAUCUGGUCUCAGAAGCUAAGCUGGGUCAGGACUGGUUAGUACUUAGAUGGGAGAGAGAUUUUCAGAAAAGACUGCUCAGACACAGACA
Molecule: ribosomal RNA, 124 nt
Filed under: Castor canadensis (American beaver)
Lineage: Eukaryota; Metazoa; Chordata; Mammalia; Rodentia; Castoridae
Source: RNAcentral